GGGUUGCUAACUCAAUGGUAGAGUACUCGGCUUUUAACCGACUAGUUCCGGGUUCGAGUC
This 60-nucleotide transfer RNA is filed under the name Herpetospermum darjeelingense. Its description in RNAcentral is "tRNA-Lys". It matches the Rfam family "tRNA", at positions 1 to 59 of the family's 71-position model. From Rfam's summary of the family: Transfer RNA (tRNA) molecules are approximately 80 nucleotides in length. RNAcentral also lists the same sequence under 2 other names. The record is from RNAcentral. Lineage: Eukaryota; Viridiplantae; Streptophyta; Magnoliopsida; Cucurbitales; Cucurbitaceae.